Long non-coding RNA from Lynx canadensis (Canada lynx), 237 nucleotides. RefSeq lists it as uncharacterized. Lineage: Eukaryota; Metazoa; Chordata; Mammalia; Carnivora; Felidae. The transcript has 3 exons. The record is from RefSeq and is a predicted model, not a curated record.
UGCGUCCUUUUGACUUACUCCCACUCCUCACUCUCUUUUUUCAUGUUAUUUUUAUUAAUAGAAUUUUUAUUUUUGGAAUUAUUUUAGAUUUACAGAAAAAACUGCAGACAGUACACAGAGUUUCUAUAUAUUCUUCACCCAGCUUCCCCCAAUACUAUCAUCUUACAUAGCCAUGAUAUAUAUGUCAAAACUAAGAAACCAACAUUGAUGUUGGGCGCCUGGGUGGCGCAGUCGGUU